UCCAUGGAGGUCUAGUGGUUAGAACUCUGCACUUUCACUGCUGUGGUCCAGGUUCAAUCCCUGGUCUGGGAU
Molecule: transfer RNA, 72 nt
Filed under: Sus scrofa (pig)
Lineage: Eukaryota; Metazoa; Chordata; Mammalia; Artiodactyla; Suidae
Rfam family: tRNA
About the family: Transfer RNA (tRNA) molecules are approximately 80 nucleotides in length. Their secondary structure includes four short double-helical elements and three loops (D, anti-codon, and T loops). Further hydrogen bonds mediate the characteristic L-shaped molecular structure. tRNAs have two regions of fundamental functional importance: the anti-codon, which is responsible for specific mRNA codon recognition, and the 3' end, to which the tRNAs corresponding amino acid is attached (by aminoacyl-tRNA synthetases). tRNAs cope with the degeneracy of the genetic code in two manners: having more than one tRNA (with a specific anti-codon) for a particular amino acid; and 'wobble' base-pairing, i.e. permitting non-standard base-pairing at the 3rd anti-codon position.
Source: Rfam by way of RNAcentral